This 314-nucleotide unclassified non-coding RNA is filed under the name Hevea brasiliensis (rubber tree). The record is from RNAcentral. Lineage: Eukaryota; Viridiplantae; Streptophyta; Magnoliopsida; Malpighiales; Euphorbiaceae.
AGGAAGAUGAUGAUUCAUUUGACAACGUUAAAUGUGCUUCUGAAUCUAAUAGAGGUUUAAGUGGAAAGCAUGAUGGCAUCAAUCAACAUGAGGAAUUUACUCCAAACAUCCAUGUCGAAAAGAUGAAAGAAUCUAAUCCACCACAGACAGAGAUUGGCACUCAGCUUUCGAAGGACCCUGACGUGACUAGCUCAAGAAUUCAACCUGAAGAGAAAAUUUUCGAGGCAAUGGUGAUUAAAGAGACUACGGUUGAAGAUAAUGAUUCAUGUGUGCUUAAGAAACGUGUCACGAAACAAAGAAAAUUCCAGAAGAAA